GGGUGUCUUCAGGGAUGACAUCAUCCGUUCACCUCCUUGUCUUCAAGGACCACCUCUCGAUGCCACGCUGCUGCCAAGAGGACAGUAGGAGCUCUGACCCCUGGAUGGCACCGGCAUACCAAGCAGCCACUGGCAGAGACCCCCCCCCCCCCAGGGAUGAGGAUGACGAAGGAUGAAGAGGACCAGAACCGACCAGCCAGCUCUCCCUCUUGGCUGAAUGCUUAAACCGAUGCCCUACGCUCCAGGCAGCCCUUGUCCGCGGGGCUCUCCUUCAAGCAGCCAAGCUUCUCGAAAGGCCUGUCUACACUUGCUGUCUUCCUUCCUCAUCUCCAAUUUCCUCUUCAACCCACUGCUUCCUGACUUGUUCUGCUCCGUUGAACGACUCUAACUCAGGUCAGCCCUGUCCUCGGCACACUGGCCGUGACCUGGCUGGGUCGGCUGAAGAACCGGAUGGAAGAGGCAGAAAGAAGCCCCCAGAGGAGCGCCGCCCUGCACCACCCAGCCUUCCUUGCUGAUGGUCACCUGGCAUCUCAUGCCCAGCCCUGUGCCUCUUCACUUCUUCCUGCUUUGGGUUGGAAGACGCCAUCUGGAAUCCUCCGUGGAAGGAGAGACCUGGACGCACGACUUAGCACCCUCCAGCUUUCAAAUCGGCAGACUAGGAUGGAAGUGCCCUUGUGAGCUGGGGGGCCCUUCAAAGGGCCAAGGAAAAAACGCGGGCCGAGGGACCAGCCUCUCAAACGGGCUUCGAGCUCCAAUGACCUUCGCUCACCCCCUUGAAAUGUCUGGAAAACAGAAUGGGCAGAUUUUCUGUCUUCAAAGUUUCCGGCUAAACCUCUUCAAGUUCUUUAUUGUUUGGGACUGAGACACUCAGCAAUGGGUCCUGUGAUGUGUGAGCAGAUGUCCCGAGGCCUCAGAUGGAUGGGACGUUUUGGAUCAGGACUGGCGGAGAAUCCUCCCUCGGUUUUUCUUCAAUGGGGCAAUUAGAUUCCGUGAUCCGAGCAGCAGACUGGUCCCCACGCUCUUCUGGGGCUCCCCUUGUGCCCACCACAAACUAACCGCGGCUCAAAGGCCAUCAAGACCACUUGGGGAGGGUGGGUCCCUCCCUGGAAGGUAGGAGCCCGCCCUACCUUCCAGAACACGCUCUGCCCUCAGCAGGGCCUGCUUCUUCCCGCCGAGCCCUCUACUAUAGCACCGAGCGCUGUUUGCCUGCGUCAGAAUCAGUCACGCACACGUCUGUCCCCGCAGCGAGGCUUGGGAGGCCAGCAGUGACUUCCAGCAUCAGUUCAAUCCAUCCAUCCAUUCAUCCGUGCGUUUGGCCUCCAUUCUUGACCUGGUGCUUCGGCCUCUCCCUUCCCCGAAAGCGAACCUUUCCAUUUUGGGCGGGCUGUGUAGCGCCAUGGGCUGUGGUCAUGAAGCGAACGCCCGUAUUAGAGCUUUCUCCUCCGGGGUCACUGCUCUGAGCACGUCCCAGCUGGACUCAUCUGCCACUGUCACCCACACGGCUUCUGUCCCCAUGGCGCUUUCCCAGGCAUCCCCCACCGCGACGGAUCCAGGGCCGGGUCCGAGAGGGCCCUCCAGCCGUGAGCGGAGGUGUCCUCCCCAGGCCGCCCUGCCUGGUGCAUGGUCCCUGCCAUGAGCUUUGCCUUCAGCCUCUCUGCUUCCUCCACCAGAUGGCAGUGGUUGUAAUUCACCCCCUCAUUCCUUCAUCCCUUCAUUCCUUCACCACCGACCAACAUUUUUCUCAAAUCAGCUGGUGCUAUACUAGAGCUGGCUCCCAAGGACUCUUCCCGAUAUCUCCUUCUGGGGGAAAAGACGAGCAUGUCUCCAAGAGGCCGUGUUUGUGUGCCAGCAAAAGGCGCGACCCUUGGUCCGGCUCCCAACUUCCGGAGCCGAGUUCUGGUGGAAGUUUGAUUGCCUUCCCCGACUCUGUUCCUUACAAAACUAGGUUGAUUGGUAAUCAGCAAACUGUGUCCCUGAGUGUUCAGAAAUCAUAAUCUGUGUCCUCAAGAGGCCAGAGUGACGGCUGGGGGCUCUGGGAUGAACGGCCGCUUCUGGCCGUGAGCAGGCUUUUAAGUCAUUAGGACACCCUGGUCUUGCCACGGUGGUGAUCUAAAGAGCGGUUCCUGUCCCUUCGGAAAUUAGUUAAUGCUGGGCUCGAUUUAGAGAAAAUUGGGGGAGAUGAUUGCUCACGGAGGUGACAGGGAACAUGCCCUGUGCGGGGGUCUGUGCAGAAUUAUCCAUUGGCAGACCUGGGCAUCCAAGGCACGUGGCACUUUGCAAACCCCGGACGUGGCCCCAAGCAUUCACGUGGGUCGCGGGCCAGGCGGGACCCCCUAUAGCUCCCUGCUGCCCCUGUGGGACAAGGCAGGGGUCCUGGGGCCUCUGCUAGGAAUUCUGCAGUUUAUUCAUUGCACCGGAGGCGGGGGUAGUGGGCAAAGCCAGGACCCUGGAGCUGGACAAACGUGUGUGGUUUAAACUGACCUUGACAGCUUUGAGUCUGUCUUCUGGGGGGACAAUGGCACCCACCUCGCAGGGCUGUUGUGAGGACUUUUGUAACCAGGGCUUUGAACUGGGAUUCUGAAGGCGGUGCGCGUGCCCCCGGGGGGCUGUGGGCUGGGGGCUGGAAGGCGGGAGGGGCAGCCCGACUCAGCAGGUUAGAGGAAAUCACUUUGCCGAACAUGCAGGAGGCAUUGUGGAAUAGAGUGCUCAAUUUGUAGGACACGGUAAGCUCAGACAGGAGUAACCUCCGCAGGGACCUUCAUGCUGGGGGGAUGGGAGCCUCUUUGGGCAACACCUUUGGUCCCCCCCUGGGGUACGCGUUCACCCUCACCUCUGUAAAAGGUUGGAAGCACCCGCUGUGUCUCGCCUACCGCUGUGUCUGGCCUGUGGGCGGCACUUCCACAUGUCCCCCUGCAAGAGACCUCUCCUGGCCGUGUCCUCCCUCCCGAAACAUUAGGCAUCAGCCAUCAAAGACACUGCGAUGUCCCCUCUCUCAAUUAACAACAGUUGGGCUCAGAUGCCAGCAGCCCGGAUGCCUAACACAGUACCAAGCCAGUGGUAGGGGUCGCCUUCCAGUUUUGUUGAACGGAUGCAUGGGUGAAUGGCCAAACACCGAAUUGUAACCAAAUGCAAGUGGCAGAUGUUAAAACCCUCACCAAGAGUUUGUAUUUCCUCCUGAUUAACCUGUUAACAAUCGUUGUAUUGUAUCUUACGGACUCCUGUAUGACGUGUGUUGUUUGAAAACCGGGAUUCUCGUUUUGGGUGUCUUGCGACGAAACCUUAGCUGUCUGUGUUUUGUGUUAGAAAUCAGAGCCCGGCAGACCCGGGGGCCACUUAACCGACCGGGCCGCGGUAGGCGAGCCCCCUUUCCUCUCUGAC
RNAcentral lists this long non-coding RNA (3378 nucleotides) under Canis lupus familiaris (dog). RNAcentral's name for it is "lncRNA (ENSCAFG00000059357.1)". Lineage: Eukaryota; Metazoa; Chordata; Mammalia; Carnivora; Canidae. The record is from RNAcentral.